This 752-nucleotide ribosomal RNA is filed under the name Sphenomorphus indicus. Its description in RNAcentral is "partial 16S ribosomal RNA". It matches the Rfam family "Bacterial large subunit ribosomal RNA", at positions 1644 to 2560 of the family's 2925-position model. Lineage: Eukaryota; Metazoa; Chordata; Lepidosauria; Squamata; Scincidae. The record is from RNAcentral.
AUACCAAAUGCACACACAAACUCCUGGCCACACAUUGAGCCACACUAUAAUAAUAGACGAACUAAUGCUAAAACUAGUAACAAGAGAGCCUCUCUAUAGCACACCUCUGCCCCAGUAAUAGAAAAACUGCUGAUAAUUAACAGACCAAAAAAGGUAAAACACCUAAACAACUGUUUAAAACACUGUCACACCAACACAGGAGUGCAACAUAGAAAGAUUAAGAGUUGUAGAAGGAACUCAGCAAAACUUGUCCCAACUGUUUACCAAAAACAUAGCCUUUAGCAACACAAGUAUUAAAGGUCCUGCCUGCCCAGUGAAACUUUUCAACGGCCGCGGUAUUCUAACCGUGCAAAGGUAGCGUAAUCACUUGUCUCUUAAAUAGAGACUAGUAUGAACGGCUAAAUGAGGACAAACCUGUCUCCUACAACCAAUCAGUGAAACUGAUCUUCCAGUCCAAAAGCUGGAAUACAAACACAAGACGAGAAGACCCUGUGGAGCUUUAAACCCACUACCAACAAAUUCAUCUGGUAUAACGUUUUGAGUUGGGGCGACUUCGGAAAAAAACAAAACUUCCGAGAACAGAACCACCACUUCUAACCAAGGCAGACAUGCCAAAACAAACUUAGACCCAGUCAUACUGAUCAACGAACCAAGUUACCCCAGGGAUAACAGCGCUAUCUUCUUCAAGAGUCCAUAUCGACAAGAAGGUUUACGACCUCGAUGUUGGAUCAGGACACCCCAAUGGUGCAGCC